Small nucleolar RNA from Megalopta genalis, 75 nucleotides. The record is from RefSeq and is a predicted model, not a curated record. NCBI's taxonomy places the organism in Eukaryota, Metazoa, Arthropoda, Insecta, Hymenoptera, Halictidae.
UGUACAUGAUGAUUUAAAUAUUCACCAUCUUUCGACUGAUAUUUGUGAUGGUACUUUUUCUUACUGAAGUUAUUU